This 460-nucleotide ribosomal RNA is filed under the name uncultured bacterium. RNAcentral's name for it is "partial 16S ribosomal RNA". It matches the Rfam family "Bacterial small subunit ribosomal RNA", at positions 338 to 795 of the family's 1533-position model. The record is from RNAcentral.
CCUACGGGAGGCAGCAGUGAGGGAUAUUGGUCAAUGGACGCAAGUCUGAACCAGCGAUGCCGCGUGCAGGAAGACGGCUCUAUGAGUUGUAAACUGCUUUUGUACGAGGGUAAACGCAGAUACGCGUAUCUGUCUGAAAGUAUCGUACGAAUAAGGAUCGGCUAACUCCGUGCCAGCAGCCGCGGUAAUACGGAGGAUUCAAGCGUUAUCCGGAUUUAUUGGGUGUAAAGGGUGCGUAGGCGGUCGGAUAAGUUAGAGGUGAAAUCCCGAGGCUCAACUUCGGAAUUGCCUCUGAUACUGUGCGGCUAGAGAGUAGUGGCGGUAGGCGGAAUGUAUGGUGUAGCGGUGAAAUGCUUAGAGAUCAUACAGAACACCGAUUGCGAAGGCAGCUUACCAAGCUACGUCUGACGUUGAGGCACGAAAGCGUGGGGAGCAAACAGGAUUAGAUACCCCAGUAGUC